UCCAUUAGCUCAGUUUGGGAGAGCGCCGUGCUUAUGAGGUCAUACCCUUAUACCAGAGCCACGCGGACGUCGCCAGUUCGAUCCUGGCAUGGAGCAA
Molecule: non-coding RNA, 97 nt
Organism: Coemansia sp. RSA 2052
Lineage: Eukaryota; Fungi; Kickxellomycota; Kickxellomycetes; Kickxellales; Kickxellaceae
Source: the annotation of a GenBank genome assembly